This 375-nucleotide ribosomal RNA is filed under the name uncultured organism. Its description in RNAcentral is "partial 16S ribosomal RNA". It matches the Rfam family "Bacterial small subunit ribosomal RNA", at positions 527 to 896 of the family's 1533-position model. The record is from RNAcentral.
GUAGGUGGCAAGCGUUGUCCGGAAUUAUUGGGCGUAAAGCGCGCGCAGGCGGGGUCCUUUAAGUCUGAUGUGAAAGCCCACGGGCUCAACCGUGGAGGGUCAUUGGAAACUGGGGGACUUGAGUACAGAAGAGGAAAGCGGAAAUCCAAGUGUAGCGGUGAAAUGCGUAGAGAUUUGGAGGAACACCAGUGGCGAAGGCGGCUUUCUGGUCUGUAACUGACGCUGAGGCGCGAAAGCGUGGGGAGCAAACAGGAUUAGAUACCCUGGUAGUCCACGCCGUAAACGAUGAGUGCUAAGUGUUAGGGGGUUUCCGCCCCUUAGUGCUGCAGCUAACGCAUUAAGCACUCCGCCUGGGGAGUACGGCCGCAAAGGCUG